UCCUACGGGAGGCAGCAGUGAGGAAUUUUCCGCAAUGGGCGAAAGCCUGACGGAGCGACGCCGCGUGAAGGAUGAAGGAUUUCGGUCUGUAAACUUCUUUUAUGUGGGAAGAUUAUGACUGUACCACAUGAAUAAGCACCGGCUAACUACGUGCCAGCAGCCGCGGUAAUACGUAGGGUGCAAGCGUUAUCCGGAAUUACUGGGCGUAAAGAGUUCGUAGGCGGAUUUUUAAGUCGGAUGUUAAAUAUACAGGCUCAACUUGUAUGCUGCAUCCGAUACUGGGAGUCUUGAGAGUGGAAGAGGUAAGCGGAAUUUCCGGUGGAGCGGUUAAAUGCGUAGAUAUCGGAAAGAACACCAAUGGCGAAGGCAGCUUACUGGGCCAUUUCUGACGCUGAGGAACGAAAGCGUGGGGAGCGAUCGGGAUUAGAUACCCCGGUAGC
Molecule: ribosomal RNA, 440 nt
Filed under: uncultured bacterium
Lineage: Bacteria
Description: bacterial SSU rRNA
Rfam family: Bacterial small subunit ribosomal RNA
Source: RNAcentral